This 495-nucleotide long non-coding RNA is filed under the name Vigna radiata. RNAcentral's name for it is "long non-coding RNA (VRAD_LNC010458)". The record is from RNAcentral. Lineage: Eukaryota; Viridiplantae; Streptophyta; Magnoliopsida; Fabales; Fabaceae.
GUCGCUCCUCACUUCCGAGAUCUUCGCUCCCAUCAUCCUGUCCGUUACGAUAUACACCUUAACUCCCUGGAUCCUAGCCUGUUACCACGUGCCUACCCUCGUGCAGUAAUCUUCUCCUUUUCACUUCCUUCCCGAUCCGCUUCUCACUCUACCUGAUCCCUUUCUCUAUCUACCCGAUCCACUAUACACCUCAUUUCCCCAUGUGUCACAUGCCUUCCCCACUUCCAUUGACCACCCUCUUCUCUCAAGUCGUCUGCCCCUCACCNUCACUAAUCUAUCCCGAUCAUUUUCUCUCUCCACCCGAUCCCUUUCUCCCUCCACCCGAUCUUCCUCUCUCCUCUAAGAACUCCCUACGCAAUUCAAAUGGUCUAUUUCUCCUCCCUAUCAACCUGUCCUCCACCCCAGCUGAGCCCUACCGAUCAUUUUCUCCCUCCACCCGAUCCGUUUCUCCCUCCACCCGAUCCACCCCUUACUCUCAAUACCUCCAUACACUAC